RNAcentral lists this ribosomal RNA (207 nucleotides) under uncultured bacterium. RNAcentral describes it as "partial 16S ribosomal RNA". It matches the Rfam family "Bacterial small subunit ribosomal RNA", at positions 568 to 774 of the family's 1533-position model. The record is from RNAcentral.
UGUGUAGGUGGCGCGCUAAGUCGGGUGUGAAAUUUCGGAGCUUAACUCCGAAACUGUAUUCGAUACUGGCGUGCUUGAGGACUGGAGAGGAGACUGGAAUUUACGGUGUAGCAGUGAAAUGCGUAGAUAUCGUAAGGAAGACCAGUGGCGAAGGCGGGUCUCUGGACAGUUCCUGACACUGAGACACGAAGGCCAGGGGAGCAAACG